AUGGUCGAACGCUUCCCCGACGACGCCGCGGUGGCCAACGGCUUUGGCCGCCGCUCGCUCCAGGAGUGGGAGGCGUACCUCCUAUUCGAGGCCAACAUCCCGACGUCUGGUGGGGCGUCCCGGGCCACACAUUCCACGAGGUGCUGGCGCACCUCGAGAGCGGCAAUGACCCGCUGCUGGCAUACCCAGGAUGCCCAGGAGGUUCAGCUCCUCCUCAUCGCUGUUCGGUGUCAAGGCCAAGCCCGCCUCGGAGACGCCGCUUGGCCGGCGCACCCGCAGCACCGGCAUCAUCAUCAACGAGGGCGGCAGGCGCCCCCCUCCCCCUCGGCUCCUCUGCGCUACGUCAAGCCAAAGACGGAUCUGGGGCUCGCCGCCGUCAAGACGGAGCCCGGGCUCGCCGCCGGCGUCAAGGAGGAGGAGCUCGACGACGCGGCGGCUCUCAAAUGGGUGCGCGAUGACUGGCGCAGCUGGAGCGCCAGCGCGAGCGCCUCGCCUACGAGAGUUUCGAAUCUCGGUGCCGUGGCUGGGACAAGGGAGGCGUCGUCGUCCUCGACGAAAGUGAUGGCGACGCGCCGCCGCCACCGGUCCGCCAUGGAGACGCGGGGCAGGGGUCUAGCAGGGGUGGCCGCGCCAUCAAGAAGUAGAAGGCCAACGACAACGCCGACAACGAGGAUGGCGGCGACGUCGGCGACUUCGCCGCGCUGA
This 705-nucleotide ribosomal RNA is filed under the name Triticum aestivum (bread wheat). RNAcentral describes it as "partial small subunit ribosomal RNA". Lineage: Eukaryota; Viridiplantae; Streptophyta; Magnoliopsida; Poales; Poaceae. The record is from RNAcentral.